GACUGUAAUGGUCCAACGGCGAAGUCCCUCACAUUUGGCUCGUAUUCCGUUUACGGAAAUCUUUCCAAUCCCGACCCCGUAAGAUCCCCUCCGCUGGCGCCCAGCCCGAACGCCGCGGUGGCCGCCCGCUCGCGUAGGUAACUCGCGAAUCUGUCGGUGUGCGCCCUAAGCAGUUGGAGAAGACCCUUGAGGGAGGAUUCACUCUGCAGAGACCUCUCCUCCCGUCGCGUGGCGGGUUGGAUUACGACCGCGGAGGGCUCGGGUUGGAAGGGCGAGUCGGAGGAGUACGACGCCAUUUAUU
RNAcentral lists this signal recognition particle RNA (301 nucleotides) under Drechmeria coniospora. Its description in RNAcentral is "Fungal signal recognition particle RNA". It matches the Rfam family "Fungal signal recognition particle RNA". Lineage: Eukaryota; Fungi; Ascomycota; Sordariomycetes; Hypocreales; Ophiocordycipitaceae. The record is from Rfam by way of RNAcentral.